This 87-nucleotide transfer RNA is filed under the name Candidatus Ryanbacteria bacterium RIFCSPHIGHO2_01_FULL_45_22. RNAcentral describes it as "tRNA-Leu". It matches the Rfam family "tRNA". From Rfam's summary of the family: Transfer RNA (tRNA) molecules are approximately 80 nucleotides in length. Their secondary structure includes four short double-helical elements and three loops (D, anti-codon, and T loops). Further hydrogen bonds mediate the characteristic L-shaped molecular structure. tRNAs have two regions of fundamental functional importance: the anti-codon, which is responsible for specific mRNA codon recognition, and the 3' end, to which the tRNAs corresponding amino acid is attached (by aminoacyl-tRNA synthetases). tRNAs cope with the degeneracy of the genetic code in two manners: having more than one tRNA (with a specific anti-codon) for a particular amino acid; and 'wobble' base-pairing, i.e. permitting non-standard base-pairing at the 3rd anti-codon position. The record is from RNAcentral. Lineage: Bacteria; Candidatus Ryaniibacteriota. RNAcentral also lists the same sequence under 1 other name.
GCCGAAGUGGUGAAAUUGGCAAACACGCAGUGUUCAGAACGCUGUGCCCGAAAGGGCUUGUGGGUUCAAGUCCCACCUUCGGCACCU